CCCCAAUGGUUCACUACGAAAUCAAGGUACAUAUGUUAUGCUUUCUUUGUUUCAUAGUGAUUAGAGAGGAUAAACAUUGUAAAAAAAAAAGUUGUCAUAGUUAAUGUAAGCUAAAACUAAAAAACUUGCUUUUUCAAUUGUGUAAGCAUGUUUUGUUCUUGAUGAAUAUUUACAACAUUCAGAGUUACUAAUGUUUAUAAUUCACAGAGACCUCAUUAACAACAAGUAACAACUAAUUGUAAGUAACCAUGAAAAAAAAAUAAGGAGAAAAAUAAAGGAAAAUCAAGGAAAGUGUCAAAUUUUUUCAUCCCCAUAAAAAAUGCUAAGGAAGAAAAAUGUGAAGAAAGUUUAAAGAAAGUAUAUUUUUCAAAAAUUGAAUUUUCUUUCCCUUAAAGUUGGUAUGGACAACCAAACAAGAAAAUGAUUUUUAAAUUCUUUUUUGACCUUUUUCUAUCAUUCUUUUUUUUUUCCCCCUACUCUAUUUCCUUUCCCUCAAACUUUCUAGGUAGUAAACAUUACCUAAGAUAAAUAGGGAAGAAAAUAUUUUAUCAUUUAUUUAUUUAGUAUUUUUCUUACCUUUUUUUGUAUUUUAUCCAAAUAUAAGAAAACUACUUUUCUUUAUUUUUUCUUUUCCUUGUUGCUUUUCAAGAAUCAAGCAUACUUUAAACUCUAAUUAAGAGUUACAUAGAUUUACAGAGAAACAAUGCAACUAGUAACAAAAAAUUAAGGAAAUUUAAUUUUUUAAUUUUUGAGAGUAAGUAUAAUAAGAUUGGUUUGUUUGAUACAAAAUUUGAAUAAAAAUUAUUUUAAUGAAAAUUCAAGGAAAGGAAAAAAAAAAAAAAAAACUUGAUCUCUAGACUAUAAUACUAAAUCAAUUAAAAAAUCUCCUAACAUCGUUUAUGUUCAUCUUUUUUUUUUUAUGGAUUUGAAAAACCCAAUAAUUUGGAGAAAACUGAUUCAAGGAAGAAUAAUUUUUAGAAUAAAAUAUUAUUAUUUAAGAAGAUCAUAAAUUUUAUAGUCAUUGUUGAAAAUGAUAAAUGAUUAAAAAAAAAAAGGUAGUUGGAAAUUUAGAUACUUUUAUAAGACAAAUGCAUUUUUCUAGUCUGGUAUGAAAAAAGGUAAAAUGAUAGGCUUUGAUCAUUUUUCAAGUUAGUUUGUUUAAAUCAUUUUAAUUUAUUUUGAUUUAAGAACAAUAACUUUUAUUACACUAGUUAUUUUGAUUUUCUUUUGAUAGAUUUUGCAAGCUUAAGCAAUUUGGAGCUAUUGGAUUUGAGUUAUAAUUUAUUUAGUGGGAGCAUUCCAUCAUCUAUAAGAUUGAUGUCUUCUAUCAAGUCUUUAUCCUUGGCUGAAAAUUACCUCAAUGGUUUCUUAGCAAAUCAAGGUACAUAUAUUGUGAUUACAGGUUUUUCUAUUUUCUUUUUUAAUAUCUUGUUUGUUCUUUAUGCCAAUUAAGUCAUGCAUGUCUAUUAAUUUUUGGUAUUUAAUGAAAAACUUUAUUCUUAAUUCAUAAAGACCUCAUCAACUAUAAGUAACAGUUAGUUCUAAGUUUGGGGGCAUUGACAAGACGAGGAGAUGAUUGGUUACAUGUCUUAUUCUCUUUUGUUGGCUUUUGCCAAUUGAAUAAGUUUCAAGAAUUAGAUUUUUCUUACAACUUAUUCCAAGGAAUCCUUCCUCCAUGUUUGAAUAAUUUGACAUCUUUGAGGUUAUUGGAUCUCUCUUCCAACCUAUUCUCCGGAAAUCUUUCUUCCCCUCUGUUACCUAAUCUCACAUCCCUGGAGUACAUCGAUCUCAGUUACAAUCAUUUUGAGGGUUCAUUCUCUUUCAGCUCUUUUGCUAAUCACUCCAACUUUCAAGUGGUCAAACUUGGAAGGAAUAACAACAAAUUUGAGGUAGAAACUGAAUAUCCAGUUGAUUGGGUUCCCCUAUUUCAGUUGAAAGCUCUUAUGCUAUCCAACUGUAAGCUCAUCGAUGACCUUCCUGGUUUUCUUCGACACCAAUUAAGAUUAACCGUGGUUGAUCUCUCCCAUAAUAACUUGACUGGAAGUUUCCCCAUUCAGCAGCUUGAAAACAAUACAAGACUAGGAUCUCUAGUUUUGAGGAAUAACUCUUUAAUGGGUCAACUACUUCCCCUGAGACCUAAUAGUCGUAUCACUUUAUUGGAUAUCUCAGACAACCGACUUCAUGGGGAACUUCAACAAAAUGUGGCCAAUAUGAUUCCAAAUAUUGAGUUUCUAAAUUUAUCCAACAAUCUUCCCCUUCAUUUCAUCCAUAUUUGGAUCUACCUUUAAAUCUCUAUUGCAUACAACCCAUAUAUGAUUCCCUCUAAAUUUAGCCUUCAUUUCUUGUUAAGAGGUUUUAAAAGCCAGCAAUUUAAUUUACUUUCAUCCUCUAUAUAGAUGAGAACUCUUAUAUUUAUCCAAUGAUAGGUAACAUUUUUGCAAAUGCUUUUAUUUGAUUUUUUUAAUUGGUCUUAAAAAUAAGUGUUAAUAAAGAUCCACAAUAUAAAAUAAUAAAUUAUAUCUCAAUUGACCUCAAGAUACUAUUUACUUCUACUAACUCAUUUUACAUCUCAAUUGUUCUUAAAAAGUCUAUAAUGGUAAUUAACUAUAGAAUUCAAGUUUUAAUUAUGCAAAAAAUAUAUAAAGGUUUUUAAAAUUAAUAGAAAAAAAGAUUCUAAUAAAUAAUAAGUAGAUUGAAACAUUUAUUUCUAGAAGUAGAGAAAGAUGGAGGAUCAUAAAAGUUGAAAAAAGAAUAAUUUGGAAGUCAUAAAAUUUUGGAAAAAGAAUAAUUCAUAGAGACCUCAUUAACAACAAGUAACAACUAAUUGUAAGUAACCAUGAAAAAA
RNAcentral lists this long non-coding RNA (2845 nucleotides) under Vitis vinifera (wine grape). RNAcentral's name for it is "long non-coding RNA (VVIN_LNC002837)". The record is from RNAcentral. Lineage: Eukaryota; Viridiplantae; Streptophyta; Magnoliopsida; Vitales; Vitaceae.